AGAGUUUGAUCCUGGCUCAGGACGAACGCUGGCGGCGCGCCUAACACAUGCAAGUCGAACGGACUUAUGGAGCUUGCUCUAUAAGUUAGUGGCGGACGGGUGAGUAACACGUGAGCAACCUGCCUUUCAGAGGGGGACAACAGUUGGAAACGACUGCUAAUACCGCAUAAGACCACGGGAUGGCAUCAUCUUGGGGUCAAAGAUUUAUCGCUGAAAGAUGGGCUCGCGUCCGAUUAGAUAGUUGGUGAGGUAACGGCUCACCAAGUCGACGAUCAGUAGCCGGACUGAGAGGUUGAACGGCCACAUUGGGACUGAGACACGGCCCAGACUCCUACGGGAGGCAGCAGUGGGGGAUAUUGGACAAUGGGGGAAACCCUGAUCCAGCGACGCCGCGUGAGGGAAGAAGGUUUUCGGAUUGUAAACCUCUGUUGACAGGGAAGAAAAUGACGGUACCUGUUUAGAAAGCCACGGCUAACUACGUGCCAGCAGCCGCGGUAAUACGUAGGUGGCAAGCGUUGUCCGGAAUUACUGGGUGUAAAGGGAGCGUAGGCGGGGCUGCAAGUCAGAAGUGAGAAUCAUAGGCUCAACUUAUGACCUGCUUUUGAAACUGUAGCUCUUGAGUGAAGUAGAGGCAAGCGGAAUUCCCAGUGUAGCGGUGAAAUGCGUAGAUAUUGGGAGGAACACCAGUGGCGAAGGCGGCUUGCUGGGCUUUUACUGACGCUGAGGCUCGAAAGCGUGGGGAGCAAACAGGAUUAGAUACCCUGGUAGUCCACGCCGUAAACGAUGAUAACUAGGUGUGGGGGGAUUGACCCCUUCCGUGCCGCAGUAAACACAAUAAGUUAUCCACCUGGGGAGUACGACCGCAAGGUUGAAACUCAAAGGAAUUGACGGGGGCCCGCACAAGCAGUGGAGUAUGUGGAUUAAUUCGAAGCAACGCGAAGAACCUUACCGGGUCUUGACAUCGAGUGACGGCUGUAGAGAUACAG
RNAcentral lists this ribosomal RNA (986 nucleotides) under uncultured rumen bacterium. RNAcentral describes it as "bacterial SSU rRNA". It matches the Rfam family "Bacterial small subunit ribosomal RNA", at positions 8 to 1011 of the family's 1533-position model. The record is from RNAcentral.